Molecule: long non-coding RNA, 2301 nt
Organism: Phyllopteryx taeniolatus (common seadragon)
Lineage: Eukaryota; Metazoa; Chordata; Actinopteri; Syngnathiformes; Syngnathidae
Exons: 3
Source: RefSeq, a predicted model, not a curated record
GGAGGAAGAAGGUGCGCGUGAGGCAGGCAAGCGGAGACAGACCCAUUGUGACUCCGCCUAUAUGACGCUGCCCCAACCAAUCAAAUUCAGAGCAACUUUGCGAGUGGCCGGCAAGCGGUGAGGUCAGACCAACCGCGUAUAUUGUGACUCUCCCCAUGUGACACGACUCAGCCGACUCAAGUCAGAGCCUUCACCAGUGGAGCAAGAAGGUGCGUACAAGGCGGGCAAGCCUUGUACGCACCUUGUACGAAACACAUCAAUCGCGUGCACAGAACGCUUGCCGCCAGACAAGACGUGGGCAAUUAUGUUUCUUCAAAUACCUUUUUGUGAGUGGCGUGGGCAGGUGCGUGCGAGGCAGCCAAGCGGCAGGGCAGGCUCUCAACCUUUGAUUUGACACAGACCCAGGAAAAGCGGAAUAGUGCCGCAACCGAGGACCACUUCCCGCAGAGACACAUUCUCUGGCCAUCAGAUAAGUAGACGACGGUGUGACGUGCAAGCUAUGGAGGUGAGGGCUGUAAACGGCGGGGUGAGAAGUCUACGCAGAGUCCAUGUACGUUCACAUACAGCGCAGUCAAAAGUUGUUUGCCCAAAGCCAACAGCGAGCACAGCGGCUGUCUUGUCUGCUGUAGACGUGCUGACUAUUGAGGAAUCGGUGCGUGUUUGUGCACUGACUGUACGUUAUUACAGCUGAGCUUCUUCCCCCCAGGGCACUCAGGACUCAACGGGGGAUAAAUAUUCUACGAAAACCUGUUACUAUGCCAUAGAUUAACCACUGGAUUUCUUUUGUCUAACUAGUUUCAACAGAAAUCCACUGAAGCAUGAAACUUUGCUAUUCUUAAGGUACUUGACUUUGUUCUCGUUGAAGUCUUAUUUUGCUUUGUGCAGCAUCUUCAGGCACGUUUCUUUUUUCCGCACAAACGUCCUAUUUUGAUUUCUACGGCAGCCUGUCGCAGCAUCAAUCAAACAAGAUUGGCCAAUGGGAGAAAAAAAAAAAAGUCUUGACGUGCAUUAUGCUAUUAUGGAUGCUCAUUACUUUUCCUUGUUACCGAAUUCCUAAUAAAUCUUCUGAUAUAUGACACAUGAUAUACAUCCAUACAUAAUCCUAAAUAUUCGGACAUUUGCACUGAGCGCAUUCAUCGGAAAUUGUUGAAUUUGAAAUUUGUGUCUCCUGCACGACGACAAUAAAGUUCAUCACUAAAUAUAACCAGUGCAGUCUGAAAAUAUGCGAAUCAUGGUCAUCUGCGUUCAGAUGUUCAGACAGUGUUGCGUGCGUGUGAAAGUCGACAUCUGAAGAUCUGAAGAAUGCGUCCGUCUGCACAAUGCCGCCUCAGUCUGCAGAUCAAUGUAGCGGGGUCAGAGGUCUCGCAUCAUCAACACAAAGCCCUUCCGUUCAUUCCCGCUCGGGAAUCUCGGGUGCAAGAAACAAUCCAGCAAAUCCGUAUAUUCCGACUGAGAAUCUUUUCUUGGCGCUAAAAUUAGCGGGCUCACUUGCUAAGUAGCACCGCCACCCAGUGGUGUUCCGCGACAUUACAGGGUUUGCCUUGUGUUCUGUACGGAGGCACCCUAAAAAAAUGUCACUCAAGUCAAAGCAAAAAGGGGUCCACCAAAUCAUUCAGUCAUCUUCCGUAGCGCUUCUCCUCACGCGGGUCACGGGGGUGCUGGAGCCGAUCCCAGCUGACUCUGGGCGAGAGGCGGGGUAUACCCUGAACUGCUCGCCAGCCAAUCACAGGGCACAUAGAAACAAACAACCAUUCGGACUCACAUUCACACCUACGGGCAAUUUAGAGUCUUCAAUUAACCUAAGUUCAGGGUGUGCCCCGCCUCUCGCCCGCUGUCAGCUGGGAUAGGCGCCAGCACACCCGCGCCCCGCGUGAGGAGAAGCGCUACGGAAAAUGGAUGGAUGCCGAAUCAAUAUUUUGACCCACCAUAUAUCCAUCAUCACUCUGCGAACUGCAAGCCUGUUAAGCUCUGAUCAACCAAUCAGAGGAUGGAAAAAUGCCAACAUUCAUCCUUUUAAGACUUGGCGACGGCCAGGGUUCUUUAAAUCUGAAACCUGAUUGGUAAAAUCCAAAAAAGUUAAAAAAACGGCCAUUGCUAAUAGUGUGUAUGUGUCGUGGGCCAAUGACAUGGCAACCCAUGGCGGUUGAAAUGUGAUUGGACAAAAAAAAUGCCGACUCUCGACUUUUUUCCACAUCACGCCGUGUAUUUGAAGCUCACUCGGAGCUCCAAUUUGGACUCGUGACACAGACACUCCGGUUGGUGACUUGAAAAAUCGUCAUCGUCCCACCCGAGCGGCGGCGG